Molecule: ribosomal RNA, 279 nt
Filed under: uncultured bacterium
Lineage: Bacteria
Description: partial 16S ribosomal RNA
Rfam family: Bacterial small subunit ribosomal RNA
Source: RNAcentral
UGCCAGCCGCCGCGGUAAUAUGGACGGUGCAAGCGUUACUCGGAUUUACUAGGCGUAAAGGGGGCGUAGGCGGUUUGGCAAGUCUGAUGUGAAAGCCCACGACUUAAUCGUGGAAGUGCAUUGGAUACUGCCAGGCUAGAGUACAGGAGGGGUGAGCGGAAUUCCAGGUGUAGAGGUGAAAUUCGUAGAUAUCUGGAGGAACAACGGAGGCGAAGGCGGCUCACUGGACUGUUACUGACGCUGAUGCGCGAAAGCGUGGGGAGCAAACGGGAUUAGAUA